AGAGCCCUAAACCCCAGCCCCUCCCUACACUGCCCCUUUUUUUCUCUACAGACAUAAAAGACAGAAAGGAAAACACAUUUUUGGCUCAUGCAAGGUGCAGCAGAAAGCUGAGCAGAAGGAAGGGGCUCUGAAGCUCAGAGAGCUCAGAGAAGUUGUGGUUUCCCCAUUGCUGGCAGUGUCCCAGGCCAGGCUGGAUGGGCUUUGGAGCAGCCUGGGACAGUGGAAGGUGUCCCUGCCAUGGCAGGGGUGGGAUGGGAUGAGUUUGGAGCUAAAAAGUUCCCUUUGGGCAGGGCCAGGGUGUCAGAGGGCAGUGCAGCCCCAGGCACUUCGGGGAGCUCUGUCUCUGGGUCUGUCUGUGUGUCUGUCCUUCCCCAGGGCAGCUGCUUUGGGCACAGGGAACAAUUCCUGCCCAAAUUCCCAUCCGGCCCUGCUCUCCU
Molecule: long non-coding RNA, 437 nt
Filed under: Ficedula albicollis (Collared flycatcher)
Lineage: Eukaryota; Metazoa; Chordata; Aves; Passeriformes; Muscicapidae
Description: lncRNA (ENSFALG00000026532.1)
Source: RNAcentral